GGCGGGCGCCGGCGCCGCGGCCGGCGCGGGCGCCCUGGUCGGGUGCUCGGGCCGCGCCGGCGCUCCGGCCGCCGCGCCCGCCG
RNAcentral lists this transfer RNA (83 nucleotides) under Mycolicibacterium duvalii. RNAcentral describes it as "tRNA-Thr". Lineage: Bacteria; Bacillati; Actinomycetota; Actinomycetes; Mycobacteriales; Mycobacteriaceae. The record is from RNAcentral.